AUUGAACGCUGGCGGCAUGCCUUACACAUGCAAGUCGAACGGCAGCACGGGUGCUUGCACCUGGUGGCGAGUGGCGAACGGGUGAGUAAUACAUCGGAACGUACCUUAUCGUGGGGGAUAACGCAGCGAAAGUUGCGCUAAUACCGCAUACGCCCUGAGGGGGAAAGCGGGGGAGCGUAAGGCCUCGCGCGAUUAGAGCGGCCGAUGUCUGAUUAGCUUGUUGGUGAGGUAAAAGCUCACCAAGGCGAUGAUCAGUAGCUGGUUUGAGAGGACGGUCAGCCACACUGGGACUGAGACACGGCCCAGACUCCUACGGGAGGCAGCAGUGGGGAAUUUUGGACAAUGGGGGCAACCCUGAUCCAGCAAUGCCGCGUGAGUGAAGAAGGCCUUCGGGUUGUAAAGCUCUUUUGUCAGGGAAGAAACAGCAGCUCUAACACAGUCUGCGAAUGACGGUACCUGAAGAAUAAGCACCGGCUAACUACGUGCCAGCCGCCGCCGUAA
This 501-nucleotide ribosomal RNA is filed under the name uncultured bacterium. RNAcentral's name for it is "partial 16S ribosomal RNA". It matches the Rfam family "Bacterial small subunit ribosomal RNA", at positions 30 to 523 of the family's 1533-position model. The record is from RNAcentral.